UACGAAGGGGGCUAGCGUUACUCGGAAUGACUGGGCGUAAAGGGCGCGUAGGCGGUUUGUUUAGUUAGGCGUGAAAUUCCUGGGCUCAACCUGGGGGCUGCGCUUAAUACAGGCAGACUAGAGUGUGAAAGAGGGUCGUGGAAUUUCCAGUGUAGAGGUGAAAUUCGUAGAUAUUGGAAAGAACACCGGUGGCGAAGGCGGCGACCUGGUUCAUUACUGACGCUGAGGCGCGAAAGCAUGGGGAGCGAACAGG
This 253-nucleotide ribosomal RNA is filed under the name uncultured bacterium. RNAcentral's name for it is "partial 16S ribosomal RNA". It matches the Rfam family "Bacterial small subunit ribosomal RNA", at positions 524 to 776 of the family's 1533-position model. The record is from RNAcentral.